This is a small nuclear RNA of Dermacentor andersoni, 190 nucleotides long. RefSeq annotates it as U2 spliceosomal RNA. NCBI's taxonomy places the organism in Eukaryota, Metazoa, Arthropoda, Arachnida, Ixodida, Ixodidae. The record is from RefSeq and is a predicted model, not a curated record.
AUGGCCAUCGGGGGUCAAAGCCUAGUAUCUGUUCUUAUCAGCUUAAUAUAUUUUACGGGUUGUAUUUGGACCUAAGAUAUAAAACUUAUUUUUGGAAGUUGGCGGAGUGCUUAAAGCGUGCUUAAAGCGGUCCGACCUCCGCCGCGGGUCGGACCGGUAUUGCACAAUCUUCGGGAUCGGCUCAUGUAUG